AAUAGAUUAUUGGUCACCACCUCCAGUUUCUGAAUUUGUGAGACUGGGGUGGGGCCUGAGAAUUUGC
Molecule: microRNA precursor, 67 nt
Organism: Homo sapiens (human)
Lineage: Eukaryota; Metazoa; Chordata; Mammalia; Primates; Hominidae
Source: Ensembl